GACGAACGCUGGCGGCACGCUUAACACAUGCAAGUCGAACGGAGAUAAUUUGAGUUUACUUGGAUUAUCUUAGUGGCGGACGGGUGAGUAACACGUGAGCAACCUGCCUUUGAGAGAGGGAUAGCUUCUGGAAACGGAUGGUAAUACCUCAUAACAUAAUUGAAGGGCAUCCUUUGAUUAUCAAAGAUUUAUCACUCAAAGAUGGGCUCGCGUCUGAUUAGAUAGUUGGUGAGGUAACGGCUCACCAAGUCGACGAUCAGUAGCCGGACUGAGAGGUUGAACGGCCACAUUGGGACUGAGACACGGCCCAGACUCC
This 316-nucleotide ribosomal RNA is filed under the name uncultured Ruminococcus sp. Its description in RNAcentral is "bacterial SSU rRNA". It matches the Rfam family "Bacterial small subunit ribosomal RNA", at positions 28 to 339 of the family's 1533-position model. The record is from RNAcentral. Lineage: Bacteria; Bacillati; Bacillota; Clostridia; Eubacteriales; Oscillospiraceae.